Molecule: transfer RNA, 76 nt
Filed under: Clostridia bacterium
Lineage: Bacteria; Bacillati; Bacillota; Clostridia
Description: tRNA-Phe
Rfam family: tRNA
About the family: Transfer RNA (tRNA) molecules are approximately 80 nucleotides in length. Their secondary structure includes four short double-helical elements and three loops (D, anti-codon, and T loops).
Source: RNAcentral
GCCUUGGUAGCUCUGUCGGUAGAGCAUGUGACUGAAAAUCACAGUGUCGGUGGUUCGAUUCCGCCCCAAGGCACCA